GACGAACGCUGGCGGCGUGCCUAACACAUGCAAGUCGAGCGGAGAUAUAUGGAAGGUUUACCGGAAAUAUAUCUUAGCGGCGGACGGGUGAGUAACGCGUGGGCAACCUGCCUCAUACAGGGGGAUAACACAGGGAAACUUGUGCUAAUACCGCAUGAAAUCAUAGUAUGGCAUCAUACAAUGAUCAAAGGAGCAAUCCGGUAUGAGAUGGGCCCGCGUCCGAUUAGCUAGUUGGUGAGGUAACGGCUCACCAAGGCGACGAUCGGUAGCCGAACUGAGAGGUUGAUCGGCCACAUUGGGACUGAGACACGGCCCAGACUCCUACGGGAGGCAGCAGUGGGGAAUAUUGCGCAAUGGGGGAAACCCUGACGCAGCAACGCCGCGUGAAGGAAGAAGGCCUUCGGUUGUAACUUACUUUGAUAGGGGACGAUAAUAGACGGUACCUAAAACAAAGACCACGGCUAACUACGUAG
RNAcentral lists this ribosomal RNA (473 nucleotides) under uncultured bacterium. RNAcentral's name for it is "bacterial SSU rRNA". It matches the Rfam family "Bacterial small subunit ribosomal RNA", at positions 28 to 508 of the family's 1533-position model. The record is from RNAcentral.